Molecule: ribosomal RNA, 484 nt
Filed under: uncultured bacterium
Lineage: Bacteria
Description: partial 16S ribosomal RNA
Rfam family: Bacterial small subunit ribosomal RNA
Source: RNAcentral
GACGAACGCUGGCGGCGUGCUUAACACAUGCAAGUCGAACGAUGAAGCCGGAGCUUGCUCUGGUGAAUUAGUGGCGAACGGGUGAGUAACACGUGAGUAACCUGCCCUUGACUCUGGGAUAACUGCGGGAAACUGUAGCUAAUACCGGAUGCGACCCUCGGAGGCAUCUCCUGGGGGUGGAAAGAACUUCGGUCAAGGAUGGACUCGCGGCCUAUCAGCUAGUUGGUGAGGUAAAGGCUCACCAAGGCGACCACGGGUAGCCGGCCUGAGAGGGUGACCUGCCACAGUGGGACUGAGACACGGCCCAGACUCCUACGGGAGGCAGCAGUGGGGAAUAUUGCACAAUGGGCGCAAGCCUGAUGCAGCAACGCCGCGUGAGGGAUGACGGCCUUCGGGUUGUAAACCUCUUUUAGCAGGGAAGAAGCGAAAGUGACGGUACCUGCAGAAAAAGCACCGGCUAACUACGUGCCAGCCGCCGCCGUAA